GAUGAAGAACGUAGCGAAAUGCGAUAAGUAGUGUGAAUUGCAGAAUUCAGUGAAUCAUCGAAUCUUUGAACGCACCUUGCGCUCCUUGGUAUUCCGAGGAGCAUGCCUGUUUGAGUGUCAUUAAAUUCUCAACCUCACCUGGUUUCUGACUUGUGUGAUGGCUUGGAUUUGGGAGUUGUGCAGGCUGUAGUUAUCUGCGGCUCUGCUCUCCUUAAAUGUAUUAGCAGGUCUUUUACCUCUAUCCCAACAGUGUGAUAAUCUAUCUACGCUGCUGGUUUGGAGACCCACUUGUGGGGGACUGGCUUCUAAUCGUCUGCAAAGACAACUUGACAUUCUUGACCUCAAAUCAGGUAGGACUACCCGCUGAACUUAAGCAUAUCAAUAAGCGGAGGA
RNAcentral lists this unclassified non-coding RNA (393 nucleotides) under soil metagenome. RNAcentral describes it as "partial contains 5.8S ribosomal RNA, internal transcribed spacer 2, and large subunit ribosomal RNA". The stretch from base 1 to 120 matches the Rfam family "5.8S ribosomal RNA", at positions 35 to 154 of the family's 154-position model. The record is from RNAcentral.